This is a long non-coding RNA of Gadus morhua (Atlantic cod), 734 nucleotides long. RefSeq lists it as uncharacterized. The record is from RefSeq and is a predicted model, not a curated record. Lineage: Eukaryota; Metazoa; Chordata; Actinopteri; Gadiformes; Gadidae. The transcript has 2 exons.
CUAGUGGACAUGGGACAUGCCUUGUUCUCUGGAUACAUCCUGUCUACAAUUGCAAUCACCUGACCAUGUAGCGACCGCAUGGCCACCUGGUUCAGGGCUUGGGCCGCGUAAUCAAGUUACGACAUGGAUAACAGCACGGAGCUCUGGAACAAUAGCAAAACCAUGGACUUUGACAACAACAUUUAACAAACUCAUGAGGCAAAGGAACGUUUGAAGGAGGUCAUGCUCACGGGUGCCUGGAGGUGGAGGUUAUUUUCCACAGAUCAAAUCCGUGGACUCUGGGCAGUCAACACGAAUGGAGCAGUGUCUGACGGAGGAGGUGAAGGAAGUGGCAGAGAUUACAGCGAAGGGAGGAGUGAAGGCAGAGGGGUGUGUCUCGGUUGAGCAAUGGGGGACAAUAGAAAUCCCUGCAAAUUAGACGUUCCCCAGCCCUCAAUGGUUUAUCAGUUACUUGAGUCCAUAUAAAAUGGUGCUUUCUCAUUUUUGCAGUAGUCCUACAUAUAUAGUAGAAACUGUAAUCCUAUAACUAUCCAAUAUUUCUUUUUAUGAAAUCUAUUAUAUUGGAAACGUCUGGCCAUAAAAUAAUACAGGGUUUGUUGUUGUCAAAGUAUUUAACAUCACUGUUGCACAAAAAUAUCUUAUAGCUUAUAUUUAAAAAUCCUCAUGCAUAGCUUCAUUACAUCAUUCUGCAUCAAGCAACAAGCAACUUCAUAAAUAAAGGUAUUUGAAUAUAA